This 362-nucleotide long non-coding RNA is filed under the name Capsicum annuum. RNAcentral describes it as "long non-coding RNA (CANN_LNC013290)". Lineage: Eukaryota; Viridiplantae; Streptophyta; Magnoliopsida; Solanales; Solanaceae. The record is from RNAcentral.
AUUCAUUGUUGAUGUUGAACGUGAUAUGUCAUCGAGCGGGUAGGCAAACAGUAGGCUCGGGUAGGCAAAUUUAGAAUUGUUGAAUUGUUGGAAUGCUUAGAAUAUUUGUUGAAUGUUUUGUUUAUCGUAUUUGAAAAGUGUAUUUAUUUAACCGGGGAAUGCCCCGAGGUCAUUUGUAUUUACUCAUCGGGGAAUGCCCCAAAGAAUUUUGUACGCAAAGGAUGGUCGUGAUCAAGGCCCGAGGCAUCGGGUAAAGCAUAGUUUAGGACUAGUGUAGGUUAUUUCAGUAUUUUUAUUUCGGGACUGUAUAACUCGGACUGGACACUAUAUUUCGGAUCCCUUUGGUUUUUGUUUCUUUGUUU